AGAGUUUGAUCCUGGCUCAGGACGAACGCUGGCGGCGUGCCUAAUACAUGCAAGUCGAACGAAACUUUCUUACACCGAAUGCUUGCAUUCACCGUAAGAAGUUGAGUGGCGGACGGGUGAGUAACACGUGGGUAACCUGCCUAAAAGAAGGGGAUAACACUUGGAAACAGGUGCUAAUACCGUAUAUCUCUAAGGAUCGCAUGAUCCUUAGAUGAAAGAUGGUUCUGCUAUCGCUUUUAGAUGGACCCGCGGCGUAUUAACUAGUUGGUGGGGUAACGGCCUACCAAGGUGAUGAUACGUAGCCGAACUGAGAGGUUGAUCGGCCACAUUGGGACUGAGACACGGCCCAAACUCCUACGGGAGGCAGCAGUAGGGAAUCUUCCACAAUGGACGCAAGUCUGAUGGAGCAACGCCGCGUGAGUGAAGAAGGUCUUCGGAUCGUAAAACUCUGUUGUUAGAGAAGAACACGAGUGAGAGUAACUGUUCAUUCGAUGACGGUAUCUAACCAGCAAGUCACGGCUAAAUACGUGCCAGCAGCCGCGGUAAUACGUAUGGUGCAAGCGUUAUCCGG
RNAcentral lists this ribosomal RNA (571 nucleotides) under uncultured bacterium. Its description in RNAcentral is "bacterial SSU rRNA". It matches the Rfam family "Bacterial small subunit ribosomal RNA", at positions 8 to 548 of the family's 1533-position model. The record is from RNAcentral.